UACGGAGGGUGCGAGCGUUAAUCGGAAUUACUGGGCGUAAAGCGUGCGUAGGCGGCGCGUUAAGUCAGAUGUGAAAGCCCCGGGCUUAACCUGGGAACGGCAUUUGAAACUGGCGGGCUCGAGUUGAGUAGAGGGGAGUGGAAUUUCCGGUGUAGCGGUGAAAUGCGUAGAGAUCGGAAGGAACACCAGUGGCGAAGGCGGCUCCCUGGACUCAAACUGACGCUGAGGUACGAAAGCGUGGGUAGCAAACAGG
This 253-nucleotide ribosomal RNA is filed under the name uncultured bacterium. RNAcentral's name for it is "partial 16S ribosomal RNA". It matches the Rfam family "Bacterial small subunit ribosomal RNA", at positions 524 to 776 of the family's 1533-position model. The record is from RNAcentral.